Long non-coding RNA from Hyaena hyaena (striped hyena), 853 nucleotides. RefSeq lists it as uncharacterized. Lineage: Eukaryota; Metazoa; Chordata; Mammalia; Carnivora; Hyaenidae. The transcript has 3 exons. The record is from RefSeq and is a predicted model, not a curated record.
GUUUUUUUUUUUUUCCCACCUGCCCGCUUCCCAGGGUCGCGAACACUUGGUCUACGCUGAGUCGCGGGUGUAACUCAGUGGACUUGAGACCUCGUGUUCUUCAGUCUCCGGCUGAGGAAGACGCGUUUCAGUUCAGACUAGUCACAUUUCCAGUGCUGAGAAGCAGGCCUUGCCCAGGGUGGCUGCAGGCGCCUGAGGAGUGCAGAGUGGCCUAAGACAGCAGCUGAAGAGACAGAACCUGAUAAGGAAAAUCCAGUAAUUAAGCCAAGGCAAGCAGCAAGGACGCAGGAAAAAUACAGAGGAUGUUUUGUACCUAGUUUUCCCACCACCCUUGCCUGCUGGGGCUGAGGCAUUAUAUAAGGAUAUACAAGCUACAGGCAGUGAUAGUGCAAACAUGGAACAGGCUGGGUUUCCUUGCAGGGUAGGGAGAGUCAUGGUCCCCCAAAUGUUCCACAUUCUCAUCUGAACCUGUGAAUACAUGAUUAAUGUUAGGGACCAUGAGAUGAAAUAGAAACCAAAGAGGAAGGCAGAAGAAUUAGAGACGUGGCAGGAGAGGGACUCAACUUUCCAUUGCUGGCUUUGAAACUGGAGGAAGAAGAUCUUUGAAGCCAAAGAAUACGGUUUCAGCUCUACAAGCUGGGAAUGGCGCUCCGCUGACAGCAAGGACCAGAAACUUCAUUUCUACAGCUGCACGGAACUGACUUCUGCUAACAACCUGGAUGAGCAUGGAAACCGAUGCUCUCCUGGAGUCUCCAGAAAAGAGCACAGCCGUGCUGGUUCCUUGAUUUUAGCCAGUGGGGCUCAUGCCACACUUCUGUCUACAGUGGUAUGAAAAAAAAUUUGUGUUGUUUUA